This 141-nucleotide small nuclear RNA is filed under the name Aotus nancymaae (Ma's night monkey). RNAcentral describes it as "U4 spliceosomal RNA (ENSANAG00000005158.1)". It matches the Rfam family "U4 spliceosomal RNA". Rfam says of the family: U4 small nuclear RNA (U4 snRNA) is a component of the major U2-dependent spliceosome. The record is from Rfam by way of RNAcentral. Lineage: Eukaryota; Metazoa; Chordata; Mammalia; Primates; Aotidae.
AGCUUUGCACAGUGGCAAUAUUGUGGCCAGUGAGAUUUAUCGGAGUCAUGAUUAUUGCUGAUUGAAAACUUUUUGCAAUACCUCGCCAUGACGACUUGAAAUAUAGUUGGCGUUGACAGUUUUCGACAAUCUCUAUGGAGA